AGUGAACGCUGGCGGUAGGCCUAACACAUGCAAGUCGAACGGCAGCACAGUAAGAGCUUGCUCUUACGGUUGGCGAGUGGCGGACGGGUGAGGAAUACAUCGGAAUCUACUUUUUCGUGGGGGAUAACGUAGGGAAACUUACGCUAAUACCGCAUACGACCUACGGGUGAAAGCAGUGGAUCUUCGGACCUUUCGCGAUUGAAUGAGCCGAUGUCGGAUUAGCUAGUUGGCGGGGUAAAGGCCCACCAAGGCGACGAUCCGUAGCUGGUCUGAGAGGAUGAUCAGCGACACUGGAACUGAGACACGGUCCAGACUCCUACGGGAGGAAGCAGUGGGGAAUAUGGUACAAUGGGCGAAAGCCUGAUCCAGCCAUACCGCGUGGGUGAAGAAGGCCUUCGGGUUGUAAAGCCCUUUUGUUGGGAAAGAAAAGAAGCAGGUUAAUACCCCGCUGCUCUGACGGUACCCAAAGAAUAAGCACCGGCUAACUUCGUG
RNAcentral lists this ribosomal RNA (492 nucleotides) under uncultured bacterium. Its description in RNAcentral is "partial 16S ribosomal RNA". It matches the Rfam family "Bacterial small subunit ribosomal RNA", at positions 29 to 507 of the family's 1533-position model. The record is from RNAcentral.